Molecule: ribosomal RNA, 200 nt
Filed under: uncultured bacterium
Lineage: Bacteria
Description: partial 16S ribosomal RNA
Rfam family: Bacterial small subunit ribosomal RNA
Source: RNAcentral
AGAGUUUGAUCCUGGCUCAGAGCGAACGCUGGCGGCGUGCUUAACACAUGCAAGUCGAAUGCGCAGCGGUCUGUAGCAAUACAGGCCGUGGGCGCAUGGCGAACGGGUGCGUAACACGUGGGCAACCUUCCCUUCGGUGGGGGAUACCCCCGCGAAAGCGGGACUAAUACCGCAUAACACUCCCUUGGUUAGCUCUGAGG